Pan troglodytes (chimpanzee) is the source of this 148-nucleotide non-coding RNA. It matches the Rfam family "Metazoan signal recognition particle RNA". Rfam says of the family: The signal recognition particle (SRP) is a universally conserved ribonucleoprotein. Lineage: Eukaryota; Metazoa; Chordata; Mammalia; Primates; Hominidae. The record is from Rfam.
GCCAGGUGUGGUGGUGCGCACCUGUAGUCCCAGCUACUCAGGAGGCUGAGAUGGGAGGAUUGUUUGAGCCCAGAGGUUCGAGGCUGUAGUGAGUUAUGAUCACACCACUGCACUCCAGACUGGGCAACAGAGUGAGCUCCUCUCUCUA